Molecule: ribosomal RNA, 468 nt
Filed under: uncultured bacterium
Lineage: Bacteria
Description: partial 16S ribosomal RNA
Rfam family: Bacterial small subunit ribosomal RNA
Source: RNAcentral
GACGAACGCUGGCGGCGUGCUUAACACAUGCAAGUCGAACGGAAAGACCCUGCUUUUGUGGGGUGCUCGAGUGGCGAACGGGUGAGUAACACGUGAGUAACCUGCCCUUGACUUUGGGAUAACUUCAGGAAACUGGGGCUAAUACCGGAUAGGAGCUCCUGCUGCAUGGUGGGGGUUGGAAAGUUUCGGCGGUUGGGGAUGGACUCGCGGCUUAUCAGCUUGUUGGUGGGGUAGUGGCUUACCAAGGCUUUGACGGGUAGCCGGCCUGAGAGGGUGACCGGCCACAUUGGGACUGAGAUACGGCCCAGGCUCCUACGGGAGGCAGCAGUGGGGAAUAUUGCACAAUGGGCGGAAGCCUGAUGCAGCAACGCCGCGUGCGGGAUGACGGCCUUCGGGUUGUAAACCGCUUUCGCCUGUGACGAAGCGUGAGUGACGGUAAUGGGUAAAGAAGCACCGGCUAACUACGUG